This 496-nucleotide ribosomal RNA is filed under the name uncultured bacterium. RNAcentral's name for it is "partial 16S ribosomal RNA". It matches the Rfam family "Bacterial small subunit ribosomal RNA", at positions 28 to 506 of the family's 1533-position model. The record is from RNAcentral.
GAUGAACGCUGGCGGCGUGCCUAAUACAUGCAAGUCGAGCGAACGGACGAGAAGCUUGCUUCUCUGAUGUUAGCGGCGGACGGGUGAGUAACACGUGGAUAACCUACCUAUAAGACUGGGAUAACUUCGGGAAACCGUAGCUAAUACCGGAUAAUAUUUUGAACCGCAUGGUUCAAAAGUGAAAGACGGUCUUGCUGUCACUUAUAGAUGGAUCCGCGCUGCAUUAGCUAGUUGGUAAGGUAACGGCUUACCAAGGCAACGAUGCAUAGCCGACCUGAGAGGGUGAUCGGCCACACUGAAACUGACACACGGUCCAGACCCCGACGGGAGGCAGCGGGGGGAAAUCUUCCCAAAGGGGCGAAAGCCUGACGGAGCAACGCCGGGUGGGUGAUGAAGGUCUUCGGAUGGUAAAACUUUUUUAUUGGGGAAGAACAAUUGUGUAGGUAACGGUGCCCUUUUUGACGUUACCAAAAAAGAAAGCCCCGCCUAACUACGU